Molecule: ribosomal RNA, 253 nt
Filed under: uncultured bacterium
Lineage: Bacteria
Description: partial 16S ribosomal RNA
Rfam family: Bacterial small subunit ribosomal RNA
Source: RNAcentral
UACGGAGGAUCCAAGCGUUGUCCGGAUUUAUUGGGUUUAAAGGGUGCGUAGGCGGACCAUUAAGUCAGAGGUGAAAGUUUGCAGCUUAACUGUAAAAUUGCCUUUGAAACUGGCGGUCUUGAGUAUAGUUGAGGUGGGCGGAAUGUGUCAUGUAGCGGUGAAAUGCUUAGAUAUGAUACAGAACACCAAUUGCGAAGGCAGCUCACUAAACUAAAACUGACGCUGAGGCACGAAAGCGUGGGGAGCAAACAGG